This 890-nucleotide ribosomal RNA is filed under the name Metabacillus idriensis. RNAcentral describes it as "bacterial SSU rRNA". It matches the Rfam family "Bacterial small subunit ribosomal RNA", at positions 74 to 953 of the family's 1533-position model. Lineage: Bacteria; Bacillati; Bacillota; Bacilli; Caryophanales; Bacillaceae. The record is from RNAcentral.
CUUGCUCCAGCAGGUUAGCGGCGGACGGGUGAGUAACACGUGGGCAACCUGCCUGUAAGACUGGGAUAACUCCGGGAAACCGGAGCUAAUACCGGAUAGUAUCUUGAACCGCAUGGUUCAAGUUGGAAAGACGGUUUCGGCUGUCACUUACAGAUGGGCCCGCGGCGCAUUAGCUAGUUGGUGAGGUAAUGGCUCACCAAGGCAACGAUGCGUAGCCGACCUGAGAGGGUGAUCGGCCACACUGGGACUGAGACACGGCCCAGACUCCUACGGGAGGCAGCAGUAGGGAAUCUUCCGCAAUGGACGAAAGUCUGACGGAGCAACGCCGCGUGAGUGAUGAAGGUUUUCGGAUCGUAAAACUCUGUUGUUAGGGAAGAACAAGUGCGAGAGUAACUGCUCGCACCUUGACGGUACCUAACCAGAAAGCCACGGCUAACUACGUGCCAGCAGCCGCGGUAAUACGUAGGUGGCAAGCGUUGUCCGGAAUUAUUGGGCGUAAAGCGCGCGCAGGCGGUUUCUUAAGUCUGAUGUGAAAGCCCCCGGCUCAACCGGGGAGGGUCAUUGGAAACUGGGAAACUUGAGUGCAGAAGAGGAGAGUGGAAUUCCACGUGUAGCGGUGAAAUGCGUAGAGAUGUGGAGGAACACCAGUGGCGAAGGCGACUCUCUGGUCUGUAACUGACGCUGANGCGCGAAAGCGUGGGGGAGCGAACAGGAUUAGAUACCCUGGUAGUCCACGCCGUAAACGAUGAGUGCUAAGUGUUAGAGGGUUUCCGCCCUUUAGUGCUGCAGCUAACGCAUUAAGCACUCCGCCUGGGGAGUANGGUCGCAAGACUGAAACUCAAGGAAUUGACGGGGGCCCGCACAAGCGGUGGAGCAUGUGGUUUAAUUUC